This 119-nucleotide non-coding RNA is filed under the name Corynebacterium casei. Its description in RNAcentral is "TPP sequence". It matches the Rfam family "TPP riboswitch aptamer (THI element)". Rfam says of the family: Vitamin B(1) in its active form thiamin pyrophosphate (TPP) is an essential coenzyme that is synthesised by coupling of pyrimidine and thiazole moieties in bacteria. The previously detected thiamin-regulatory element, thi box was extended, resulting in a new, highly conserved RNA secondary structure, the THI element, which is widely distributed in eubacteria and also occurs in some archaea. Analysis of operon structures identified a large number of new candidate thiamin-regulated genes, mostly transporters, in various prokaryotic organisms. The record is from RNAcentral. Lineage: Bacteria; Bacillati; Actinomycetota; Actinomycetes; Mycobacteriales; Corynebacteriaceae.
AUAUUCAUUUACGGGUGCUCGCAAGCAAAGUGCGGGCUGAGACCCCUGGCGCAGGCGCUGGGAAACCGUCGAACUUGAACCGGAUAAUGCCGGCGAAAGGAUAAAAGAAAUGGUUACUU